Mucidula mucida is the source of this 102-nucleotide non-coding RNA. NCBI's taxonomy places the organism in Eukaryota, Fungi, Basidiomycota, Agaricomycetes, Agaricales, Physalacriaceae. The record is from the annotation of a GenBank genome assembly.
GGCGCUAUAGCCAAGUGGUUACGGCGACAGAUUAGAAUUGCUCGCAGCUCUCUCGUAAUCUGUUCCUCUUUGAGGGCGCAGGUUCAAAUCCUGCUGGCGUCG